RNAcentral lists this long non-coding RNA (639 nucleotides) under Physcomitrium patens. Its description in RNAcentral is "long non-coding RNA (PPAT_LNC014849)". The record is from RNAcentral. Lineage: Eukaryota; Viridiplantae; Streptophyta; Bryopsida; Funariales; Funariaceae.
AACAGAUUUAAACCUCAAUAACUAAUGAAUAAACCAUUGAUCUUAACUCAAAUUUUGCACACUUCUUAAAAAAUAAGUUAAAAAAAGCACAAAAAAUUUGAAAAGGAUCAAAAUUACCAAAUUGACGAUAACCUCAAAAAUGUGCUCAGGUAUUGGCCGGCCUCCUUCUCCAAUCUUGAUGCCAAUCUUCCAGAGCCAAUAUCUCUUCUUUUCACUGUUCGAUUGAUUUUAAAUUUUUCAUAUAUAUAAAAAACAAAUCUAAUAUCCUCUCACAUAAAUUUCAUUCCAAUACAAUUAGUAAAUUGCAAGAAAUCUUAAAAAUCCUCACUAGACCUAAAAUUCUACUUUUUGAGACCUUGACCCACUUAAAUCUCAAUAACCCUCAAUUCAAAUGUUAGAUUGAAUUCAAAUUGACAAAACAUAUUAAACACAAUUAUAACCAUCAACUGACAAAAUUUCACUUGUAGAUCUAUUACAAAACUCUUGAAAUCAUCCAAAACGUAAAUCCUAUUUUAUUUCAUAAAAUCCAAGUCAUCCAAAAUAAACCUUGAAUUUACAAAGCUCUUAUAAAGUCAUAACUCCAAAUUGCCCAUAACCAAUGCUCAUAGAAAUCUUAUCCCAUCUGCUAUCAAAUUCCAU